AUCAAGCUGACGAGUGAAAAACAGAACGAAACGUGCGUCCUGGAU
This 45-nucleotide non-coding RNA is filed under the name Schistosoma mattheei. The record is from RNAcentral. Lineage: Eukaryota; Metazoa; Platyhelminthes; Trematoda; Strigeidida; Schistosomatidae.